UGGGGAAUAUUGGACAAUGGGCGCAAGCCUGAUCCAGCCAUGCCGCGUGAGUGACGAAGGUCUUCGGAUUGUAAAGCUCUUUUUGGCAGGGACGAUAAUGACGGUACCUGGAGAAUAAGCCCCGGCAAACUUCGUGCCAGCAGCCGCGGUAAUACGAAGGGGGCUAGCGUUGUUCGGAAUUACUGGGCGUAAAGCGCACGUAGGCGGAUUGUUAAGUCAGAGGUGAAAUCCCGGAGCUCAACUUCGGAACUGCCUUUGAUACUGGCAAUCUAGAGUCCGGAAGAGGUUAGUGGAAUUCCCAGUGUAGAGGUGAAAUUCGUAGAUAUUGGGAAGAACACCAGUGGCGAAGGCGGCUAACUGGUCCGGUACUGACGCUGAGGUGCGAAAGCGUGGGGAGCAAACAGGAUUAGAUACCCCCGUAGUCCCUGAGCGGGCUGGCAAGGCGCAU
RNAcentral lists this ribosomal RNA (448 nucleotides) under uncultured bacterium. RNAcentral describes it as "bacterial SSU rRNA". It matches the Rfam family "Bacterial small subunit ribosomal RNA", at positions 355 to 825 of the family's 1533-position model. The record is from RNAcentral.